RNAcentral lists this ribosomal RNA (886 nucleotides) under uncultured bacterium. Its description in RNAcentral is "bacterial SSU rRNA". It matches the Rfam family "Bacterial small subunit ribosomal RNA", at positions 505 to 1397 of the family's 1533-position model. The record is from RNAcentral.
GUGCCAGCAGCCGCGGUAAUACGGAAGGUCCGAGCGUUAUCCGGAUUUAUUGGGUUUAAAGGGUGCGCAGGCGGGUUGUCAAGUCAGCCGUUAAAUAGUGGAGCUCAACUCCAUCCAGCGGUUGAAACUGGCGACCUUGAGUGCGGCAGAGGGAAGCGGAAUUCGUGGUGUAGCGGUGAAAUGCAUAGAUAUCACGAAGAACUCCGAUUGCGAAGGCAGCUUCCUGGACCGUAACUGACGCUGAGGCACGAAGGUGUGGGAAUCAAACAGGAUUAGAUACCCUGGUAGUCCACACAGUAAACGAUGGAUGCUCGCGGUGCGCAGUUUACUGUACGCCGCCAAGGGAAACCGUUAAGCAUCCCACCUGGGGAGUACGCCGGCAACGGUGAAACUCAAAGGAAUUGACGGGGGCCCGCACAAGCGGAGGAACAUGUGGUUUAAUUCGAUGAUACGCGAGGAACCUUACCCGGGCUUGAAAUGUACCUGACAGGCGGAAGAGACGCCGCCCUCCUUCGGGCAGGUAUGUAGGUGCUGCAUGGUUGUCGUCAGCUCGUGCCGUGAGGUGUCGGCUUAAGUGCCAUAACGAGCGCAACCCUUCCCGCCGGUUACCAUCAUUCAGUUGGGGACUCCGGCGGCACUGCCAUCGCAAGAUGUGAGGAAGGCGGGGAUGACGUCAAAUCAGCACGGCCCUUACGUCCGGGGCCACACACGUGUUACAAUGGGGGGCACAGAAAGCAGGAGUACGGCGACGUGCUUCGAAUCAUGAAAUCCCCUCCCAGUUCGGACUGGAGUCUGCAACCCGACUCCACGAAGCUGGAUUCGCUAGUAAUCGCGCAUCAGCCAUGGCGCGGUGAAUACGUUCCCGGGCCUUGUACACACCGCCCGU